AGAGCUUUAGUUUAGGUAAAAUGUCUGUGUUGCAAGCAGAAGAUGUGAUUGUUCGCAAGUUCUC
Molecule: transfer RNA, 64 nt
Filed under: Python bivittatus (Burmese python)
Lineage: Eukaryota; Metazoa; Chordata; Lepidosauria; Squamata; Pythonidae
Description: Python molurus bivittatus (Burmese python) tRNA
Rfam family: tRNA
About the family: Transfer RNA (tRNA) molecules are approximately 80 nucleotides in length. Their secondary structure includes four short double-helical elements and three loops (D, anti-codon, and T loops).
Source: Rfam by way of RNAcentral